GAUGAACGCUGGCGGCGUGCCUAAUACAUGCAAGUCGAGCGAACAGACGAGGAGCUUGCUCCUCUGACGUUAGCGGCGGACGGGUGAGUAACACGUGGAUAACCUACCUAUAAGACUGGGAUAACCUCGGGAAACCGGAGCUAAUACCGGAUAAUAUAUUGAACCUCAUGGUUCAAUAGUGAAAGACGGUUUUGCUGUCUCUUAUAGAUGGAUCCGCGCCGCAUUAGCUAGUUAGUAAGGUAACGGCUUACCAAGGCGACGAUGCGUAGCCGACCUGAGAGGGUGAUCGGCCACACUGAAACUGAGACACGGUCCAGACUCCUACGGAAGGCAGCAGUAAGGUAUCUUCCGCAAUGGGCGAAAGCCUGACGGAGCAACGCCGCGAGAGUGAUGAAGGUCUUCGGAUCGUAAAACUCUGUUAUUAGGGAAGAACAAAUGUGUAAGUAACUAUGCACGUCUUGACGGUACAUAAUCAGAAAGCCACGGCUAACUACGUG
RNAcentral lists this ribosomal RNA (497 nucleotides) under uncultured bacterium. Its description in RNAcentral is "partial 16S ribosomal RNA". It matches the Rfam family "Bacterial small subunit ribosomal RNA", at positions 28 to 507 of the family's 1533-position model. The record is from RNAcentral.